CGCGUAGGCGGAUUGGAAAGUAGGGGGUGAAAUCCCGGGGCUCAACCCCGGAACUGCCUCCUAAACUAUCAGUCUAGAGUUCGAGAGAGGUGAGUGGAAUUCCAAGUGUAGAGGUGAAAUUCGUAGAUAUUUGGAGGAACACCAGUGGCGAAGGCGGCUCACUGGCUCGAUACUGACGCUGAGGUGCGAAAGUGUGGGGAGCAAACA
This 207-nucleotide ribosomal RNA is filed under the name uncultured bacterium. Its description in RNAcentral is "partial 16S ribosomal RNA". It matches the Rfam family "Bacterial small subunit ribosomal RNA", at positions 568 to 774 of the family's 1533-position model. The record is from RNAcentral.